RNAcentral lists this long non-coding RNA (247 nucleotides) under Elaeis guineensis (African oil palm). RNAcentral's name for it is "long non-coding RNA (EGUI_LNC071826)". Lineage: Eukaryota; Viridiplantae; Streptophyta; Magnoliopsida; Arecales; Arecaceae. The record is from RNAcentral.
GGGUGUCCAGGCCUAUCGACCGAAGUCCGGCUGGAGUGUCUGGCGGAGAGGGGUGGCUAGUUGCCCGUCUGAGAGGAACUCGGAGUCCUGCUCUCGUUGGAGUUCGGACGAAGUCUUCCUUCAGUUGAAGUCGGAGACGAGAUCUGGCUCCUGUAGGAGCUCGGGCGAAGUCUACCUGCAGUCAAAGUCAGGGGUGAAGUCUGGCUCCCUUAGGAGUCCGGACGAAGUUCACCAGCAGUCAGGGUCG